Molecule: long non-coding RNA, 358 nt
Organism: Macrosteles quadrilineatus (aster leafhopper)
Lineage: Eukaryota; Metazoa; Arthropoda; Insecta; Hemiptera; Cicadellidae
Exons: 2
Source: RefSeq, a predicted model, not a curated record
CCACCAAACGUUUCAGUUCAGUGACUGCAUAGCUGAGGAGGUAGGUGACAGAGCCAUGCUGCGGUCUAUUCUACUUGUAGUGAUAUUGUCGUUGUUGGCAUUUCAACUUUGUCCAGCAUUUGCCUGUCUAUCAAGGGGCUUACAGUGCAGCAAUGUUACAUCUGCCCCGGAACAUCUGAAAUGCUGUGAUAACGUUGAGUGUUCCUACUUUUGGUCUACAAAGGAAACUAGAUGUGUUUAAAAUCCACCAUUAGGUUCUUGUAAUGCAGGGUAUCUGUUACCAAAUAUUUGUUCACUGUAACCCAAAUAAAAUAUUGAUCUAAUAAACAUCAAAUGUGUGUAAAGAUGGUUUAUUAAA